UAGCCGUAAACGAUACUCGCUAGGUGUCGGCCAUGGUGCGACCGUUGUCGGUGCCGUAGGGAAGCCGUGAAGCGAGCCACCUGGGAAGUACGGCCGCAAGGCUGAAACUUAAAGGAAUUGGCGGGGGAGCACAACAACGGGUGGAGCUUGCGGUUUAAUUGGAUUCAACGCCGGAAAUCUUACCGGGACCGACAGCAACAUGAAGGCCAAGCUGAAGACUUUGCCGGAUUAGCUGAGAGGAGGUGCAUGGCGUAGACGUCU
RNAcentral lists this ribosomal RNA (261 nucleotides) under uncultured archaeon. RNAcentral describes it as "partial 16S ribosomal RNA". It matches the Rfam family "Archaeal small subunit ribosomal RNA", at positions 748 to 1009 of the family's 1478-position model. The record is from RNAcentral.